GUUUGAUCACGGCUCAGAUUGAACGCUGGCGGUAGGCCUAACACAUGCAAGUCGAACGCGAAAGUCCUUCGGGAUGAGUAGAAUGGCGGACGGGUGAGUAACGCGUAGGAAUCUAUCCUGUAGUGGGGGAUAACGUUUCGAAAGGAACGCUAAUACCGCAUACGCCCCAAGGGGGAAAGCGGGGGAUCUUCGGACCUCGUGCUAUAGGAGGAGCCUGCGUCGGAUUAGCUAGUUGGUGAGGUAAAGGCUCACCAAGGCGACGAUCCGUAGCUGGUCUGAGAGGAUGAUCAGCCACACCGGAACUGAGACACGGUCCGGACUCCUACGGGAGGCAGCAGUGGGGAAUAUUGCGCAAUGAGCGAAAGCCUGACGCAGCCAUACCGCGUGUGUGAAGAAGGCCUUCGGGUUGUAAAGCACUUUCAGUGGGGAGGAAAAGCUGGCGGCUAAUAUCCGCUGGCCGUGACGCUACCCACAGAAGAAGCACCGGCUAAUUCCGUGCCAGCAGCCGCGGUAAUACGGAAGGUGCGAGCGUUAAUCGGAAUUACUGGGCGUAAAGCGCACGUAGGUGGCUUGGUAAGUCGGAUGUGAAAGCCCCGGGCUCAACCUGGGAACGGCAUUCGAUACUGCUGAGCUAGAGUACGAAAGAGGGGGGUGGAAUUCCAGGUGUAGCGGUAAAAUGCGUAGAGAUCUGGAGGAACACCAGUGGCGAAGGCGGCCCCCUGGUUCGAUACUGACGCUGAGGUGCGAAAGCGUGGGGAGCAAACAGGAUUAGAUACCCUGGUAGUCCACGCCGUAAACGAUGUCUGCUAGCCGUUGGGAUCCUUGAGGUUUCGGUGGCGCAGCUAACGCGAUAAGCAGACCGCCUGGGGAGUACGGCCGCAAGGUUAAAACUCAAAUGAAUUGACGGGGGCCCGCACAAGCGGUGGAGCAUGUGGUUUAAUUCGAUGCAACGCGAAGAACCUUAUCCUGGACUUGACAUGCAUGGAUUAACCCAGUGAAAGCUGGGCCACGCCUUCGGGUGGAACAUGCACAGGUGCUGCAUGGCUGUCGUCAGCUCGUGUCGUGAGACGUCGCGUUAAGUCGCUUAACGAGCGCAACCCUUGUCCUUAGUUGCCAGCAUUCAGUUGGGGACUCUAAGGAGACCGCCGGUGUCAAACCGGAGGAAGGUGGGGACGACGUCAAGUCAUCAUGGCCUUUAUGUCCAGGGCUGCACACGUCAUACAAUGCGGCAUACAAAGGGCAGCGAACCCGCGAGGGGAAGCUAAUCUCAAAAAGUGUCGCUCAGUUCGGAUUGCAGGCUGCAACUCGCCUGCAUGAAGCUGGAAUCGCUAGUAAUCGCAGAUCAGCUAUGCUGCGGUGAAUAUGUUCCUGAGCCUUGUACACACCGCCCGUCAAGCCACGAAAGCGGGGGGCGCCUAAAGUCGCUGUGCUAACCG
Molecule: ribosomal RNA, 1436 nt
Filed under: metagenome
Description: bacterial SSU rRNA
Rfam family: Bacterial small subunit ribosomal RNA
Source: RNAcentral